Molecule: ribosomal RNA, 465 nt
Filed under: uncultured bacterium
Lineage: Bacteria
Description: partial 16S ribosomal RNA
Rfam family: Bacterial small subunit ribosomal RNA
Source: RNAcentral
GACGAACGCUGGCGGCGUGCUUAACACAUGCAAGUCGAACGGAAAGGCCCUGCUUGCAGGGUACUCGAGUUGCGAACGGGUGAGUAACACGUGGGUGAUCUGCCCUGCACUUCGGGAUAAGCCUGGUAAACUGGGUCUAAUACCGGACAGGAGCCAUUUUUAGUGUGAUGGUUGGAAAGUUUUUUCGGUGUAGGAUGAGCUCGCGGCCUAUCAGCUUGUUGGUGGGGUAAUGGCCUACCAAGGCGGCGGCGGGUAGCCGGACUGAGAGGGUGGACCGCCACACUGGGUCUGAGAGACGGCCCCGGCACGGACGGGAGGGAGAAGUGGGGAAGCUUGAACGAGGGGCGCAAGCCGGAUGCAGAGGCGCCGCGGAGGGGAGGACGGCCUUAGGGUUGAAAAACACUUUCGCUAGGGACGAAGCUUUUUGUGACGGUACCUAGAUAAGAAGCACCGGCUAACUACGUG